AUUGAACGCUGGCGGCAGGCUUUACACAUGCAAGUAGAGCGGAGUGGCGGACGGGUGCGUAAUGCCUAGGAAUCUGCCUGGUAGUGGUGGAUAACGACCGGAAACGGGCGCUAAUACCACUUCCUAUAAGUUUAGACUCGGUCGGAUUAGCACGUUGGUGGGGUAAAGGCCUACAAAGGCGACGAUCCGUAACUGGUCUGAGAGGAUGAUCAGUAACACGGGAACUGAGACACGUCCCAGACUCCUACGAGAGGCAGCAGGUGGGAAUAUUGGACAAUGGGCGAAAGCCGGAUCCAGCCAUGCCGCGUGUGUGCAGAAGGUCUUCGGAUUGUAAAGCACUUUAGGGUGUGAGGCGUUACCAGCAGAAUAAGCACCGGCUAACUUCGUGCCAGCGGCCGCGGUAAUAC
RNAcentral lists this ribosomal RNA (407 nucleotides) under uncultured bacterium. RNAcentral's name for it is "partial 16S ribosomal RNA". It matches the Rfam family "Bacterial small subunit ribosomal RNA", at positions 30 to 526 of the family's 1533-position model. The record is from RNAcentral.